This 444-nucleotide ribosomal RNA is filed under the name uncultured bacterium. Its description in RNAcentral is "bacterial SSU rRNA". It matches the Rfam family "Bacterial small subunit ribosomal RNA", at positions 331 to 792 of the family's 1533-position model. The record is from RNAcentral.
CCAGACUCCUACGGGAGGCAGCAGUGGGGAAUAUUGCACAAUGGGGGAAACCCUGAUGCAGCGACGCCGCGUGAGUGAAGAAGUAUUUCGGUAUGUAAAGCUCUAUCAGCAGGGAAGAAAAUGACGGUACCUGACUAAGAAGCCCCGGCUAACUACGUGCCAGCAGCCGCGGUAAUACGUAGGGGGCAAGCGUUAUCCGGAUUUACUGGGUGUAAAGGGAGCGUAGACGGCAUGGCAAGUCAGAUGUGAAAGCCCGGGGCUCAACCCCGGGACUGCAUUUGAAACUGUCAGGCUGGAGUGCAGGAGAGGUAAGUGGAAUUCCUAGUGUAGCGGUGAAAUGCGUAGAUAUUAGGAAGAACACCAGUGGCGAAGGCGGCCUGCUGGACGACAACUGACGGUGAGGCGCGAAAGCGUGGGGAGCAAACAGGAUUAGAUACCCGCGUA